Molecule: ribosomal RNA, 492 nt
Filed under: uncultured bacterium
Lineage: Bacteria
Description: partial 16S ribosomal RNA
Rfam family: Bacterial small subunit ribosomal RNA
Source: RNAcentral
AGUGAACGCUGGCGGUAGGCCUAACACAUGCAAGUCGAACGGCAGCACAGUAAGAGCUUGCUCUUACGGGUGGCGAGUGGCGGACGGGUGAGGAAUACAUCGGAAUCUACUUUUUCGUGGGGGAUAACGUAGGGAAACUUACGCUAAUACCGCAUACGACCUACGGGUGAAAGCAGGGGAUCUUCGGACCUUGCGCGAUUGAAUGAGCCGAUGUCGGAUUAGCUAGUUGGCGGGGUAAGGGCCCACCAAGGCGACGAUCCGUAGCUGGUCUGAGAGGAUGACUAGCCAGCGGGGGACUGCGAAAGGGACCAGACUCCGACGGGCUGCAGCCGUGGGGAAUCGUGGAAAAUGGGCGCAAGGCUGAUCACGCCAUGCCGCGUGAAGGAAGAAGGGCUUCGGGUUGUAAACCGCUGUGGUAAGGAAAGAAAAGGAACUGGUCAAUAACCGGGGCUCAGGACGGUACCGGAAGAAUAAGAACAGGCGAACUACGUG